This 1381-nucleotide long non-coding RNA is filed under the name Ovis aries (sheep). RNAcentral describes it as "lncRNA (ENSOARG00000025423.1)". Lineage: Eukaryota; Metazoa; Chordata; Mammalia; Artiodactyla; Bovidae. The record is from RNAcentral.
CUAAGGCCCACUUGACUUCACAUUCCAGGAUGUCUGGCUCUAGGUGAGUGAUCACACCAUCGUGAUCUUGGUCAUGAAGAUCUUUUUUGUAUAGUUGUUCUGUGUAUACUUGCCACCUCUUCUUAAUAUCCUCUGCUUCUGUCAGGUCCCUACCAUUUCUGUCCUUUAUUGUACCCAUCUUUGCAUGAAAUGUUCCCUUGGUAUCUCUAAUUUUCUUGAAGAGAUCUCUAGUCUUUCCCAUUCUGUUUUCCUCUAUUUCUUUGCAUUGAUCGCUGAAGAAGGCUUUCUUAUCUCUUCUUGCUAUUCUUUGGAACUCUGCAUUCAGAUGCUUAUAUCUUUCCUUUUCUCCUUUGCUUUUCACCUCUCUUCUUUUCACAGCUAUUUGUAAGGCCUCCCCAGACAGCCAUUUUGCUUUUUUGCAUUUCUUUUCCAUGGGGAUGGUCUUGAUCCCUGUCUCCUGUACAAUGUCACGAACCUCAUUCCAUAGUUCAUCAGGCACUCUCUCUAUCAGAUCUAGGCCCUUAAAUCUAUUUCUCACUUCCACUGUAUAAUCAUAAGGGAUUUGAUUUAGGUCAUACCUGAAUGGUCUAGUGGUUUUCCCUACUUUCUUCAAUUUGAGUCUGAAUUUGGUAAUAAGGAGUUCAUGAUCUGAGCCACAGUCAGCUCCUGGUCUUGUUUUUGUUGACUGUAUAGAGCUUCUCCAUCUUUGGCUGCAAAGAAUAUAAUUAAUAUGAUUUUGGUGUUGACCAUCUGGUGAUGUCCAUGUGUAGAGUCUUCCCUUGUGUUGUUGGAAGAGGGUGUUUGCUAUGACCAGUGCAUUUUCUUGGCAAAACUCUAUUAGUCUUUGCCCUGCUUCAUUCCGCAUUCCAAGGCCAAAUUUGCCUGUUACUCCAGGUGUUUCUUGACUUCCUACUUUUGCAUUCCAGUCCCCUAGAAUGAAAAGGACAUCUUUUUUGGGUGUUAGUUCUAAAAGGUCUUGUAGGUCUUCACAAAACCGUUCAGCUUCAGUUUCUUCAGCGUUACUGGUUGGGGCCUAGACUUGGAUAAAUUCAAGGGCUUUGAUGACCACCAUUUCCUUCUCUGAACAACUCUAUCAUUUCCUGUCACAAUGUUUUUUCCCUCUUUCAACUCUCACUCUUGUAAUACCAAAUCAUUGUGUACCAUAAUCAGGCAAUUUGCAGGAAAGAAGUGUGCUGUAUUUUCAGUUGUCAACUUUCUAUUUUAGUCACUCACUUUGAAGGUUUCCUCUGCACUGCACUGCAAAGAAGAGCCCAGAAAUGUUUGCCAGGUUUCCCUUCAUUCUAUGGUUCCAGAUUAGAGUUUGCCAUUGAGAGUAACGCAAAAACUAUUUGAAAGUUGGGAAGAAGAAAAGCUAUUGUUG